UAUUAGGUUGGUGCAAAAGUAAUUGCGGUUUCUGCCAUUCCUUUCAAAUGACACAAACUGCAUUUACUUUUGCACCAACCUAAUAC
This 86-nucleotide microRNA precursor is filed under the name Nomascus leucogenys (northern white-cheeked gibbon). RNAcentral describes it as "miRNA (ENSNLEG00000033828.1)". The record is from RNAcentral. Lineage: Eukaryota; Metazoa; Chordata; Mammalia; Primates; Hylobatidae.